GCAGGGUAGGGGACGUAAAGGAGCAGGAGGAUGGCAGGGGACGUAAAGGAGCAAGAGCAGUGCAGGGGACGUAAAGGAGCAAGAGCAGGGCAGGGGACGUCAAGGAGCAGGAGGAGGGCAGGGAACUUAAAGGAGCAGGAGGAUGGCAGGGGACGUAAAGGAGCAGGAGGAGGGCAGGGGACGUAAAGGAGCAGGAGGAGGGCAGGGGACGUAAAGGAGCAGGAGCAGGGCAGGGGACGUAAAGGAUCAGGGCAGGGGACGUAAAGGAGCAAGAGCAGGGCAGGGGACGUAAAGGAGCAGGAGGAGGGCAGGGGACGUAAAGGAGCAGGAGGAUGGCAGGGGACGUAAAGGAGCAGGAGGAGGGCAGGGGACGUAAAGGAGCAGGAGGAUGGCAGGGGAGGUAAAGGAGCAGGAGGAGGGCAGGGGACGUAAAGGAGCAGGAGGAGGGCAGGGACAUGGGCAGGGGAGGUAAAGGAGCAGGGAGAUGGCAGGGGAGGUAAAGGACCAGGAGCAGAGCAGGGGAGGUAAAGAAGCAGGAGGAGGGCAGGGGACGUAAAGGAGCAGGAGGAGGGCAGGGGACGUAAAGGAGCAGGAGGAGGGCAGGGGACGUAAAGGAGCAGGAGGAGGGCAGGGGACGUAAAGGAGCAAGAGCAGGGUAGGGGACGUAAAGGAGCAGGAGGAUGGCAGGGGACUUAAAG
Long non-coding RNA from Oncorhynchus tshawytscha (Chinook salmon), 698 nucleotides. Lineage: Eukaryota; Metazoa; Chordata; Actinopteri; Salmoniformes; Salmonidae. The record is from Ensembl.